GGACAAUCUGCCCUGAAGAGGAGGAUAAUCCCGGGAAACUGGGGGUAAUACUCCAUAGUUCGUGCUGACUGGAAUGUUAUGCGAACGAAAGAUCCGUCGCUUCAGGAUGAGUCUGCGGCCGAUUAGGUAGUUGUUGGGGUAACGGCCCAACAAGCCUGUCAUCGGUACGGGUUGUGGGAGCAAGAGCCCGGAGAUGGAUUCUGAGACACGAAUCCAGGCCCUACGGGGCGCAGCAGGCGCGAAAACUUUACCAUGCGGGCAACCGUGAUAAGGAAACCCCGAGUGCCAGCACAGGCUGGCUGUCCACCAGUGUAAAUAACUGGUGAAGAAAGGGCCGGGCAAGACCGGUGCCAGCCGCCGCGGUAAUACCGGCGGCUCGAGUGGUGGCCGCUAUUACUGGGCUUAAAGGGUCCGUAGCUGGAUAUACAAGUCCCUUGAGAAAUCCGCCGGCUUAACCGGUGGGCGUUCAGGGGAAACUGUAUUUCUAGGGACCGGGAGAGGUGAGAGGUACUGCCGGGGUAGGAGUGAAAUCCUGUAAUCCCGGUGGGACCACCUAUGGCGAAGGCGUCUCACCAGAACGGACCUGACGGCAAGGGACGAAAGCUAGGGGCACGAACCGGAUUAGAUACCCGGGUAGUCCUAGCCGUAAACGAUACUCGCUAGGUGUCGGCCACGGUGCGACCGUUGUCGGUGCCGUAGGGAAGCCGUGAAGCGAGCCACCUGGGAAGUACGGCCGCAAGGCUGAAACUUAA
This 752-nucleotide ribosomal RNA is filed under the name uncultured archaeon. RNAcentral describes it as "bacterial SSU rRNA". It matches the Rfam family "Archaeal small subunit ribosomal RNA", at positions 102 to 859 of the family's 1478-position model. The record is from RNAcentral.